This is a non-coding RNA of Cymbomonas tetramitiformis, 72 nucleotides long. NCBI's taxonomy places the organism in Eukaryota, Viridiplantae, Chlorophyta, Pyramimonadophyceae, Pyramimonadales, Pyramimonadaceae. The record is from the annotation of a GenBank genome assembly.
GACUUCGUGGCGCAAUGGUAGCGCGUCCGACUCCAGAUCGGAAGGUUGAGGGUUCGAUUCCCUUCGGGGUCA